This 58-nucleotide transfer RNA is filed under the name Canis lupus familiaris (dog). The record is from Rfam by way of RNAcentral. Lineage: Eukaryota; Metazoa; Chordata; Mammalia; Carnivora; Canidae. RNAcentral also lists the same sequence under 2 other names.
ACCUGGGUAGCUCAGUGGUUGAGCAUCUGCCUUUGGCGCAGGUUGUGAUCCCAGGGUU